Molecule: ribosomal RNA, 465 nt
Filed under: uncultured bacterium
Lineage: Bacteria
Description: partial 16S ribosomal RNA
Rfam family: Bacterial small subunit ribosomal RNA
Source: RNAcentral
GAUGAACGCUGGCGGCGUGCUUAACACAUGCAAGUCGAACGGAAAGGCUCCUGCUUGCAGGGGUACUCGAGUGGCGAACGGGUGAGUAACACGUGGGUGAUCUGCCCUGCACUUCGGGAUAAGCCUGGGAAACUGGGUCUAAUACCGGAUAGGACGAUGGUUUGGAUGCCAUUGUGGAAAGUUUUUCGGUGUGGGAUGAGCUCGCGGCCUAUCAGCUUGUUGGUGGGGUAAUGGCCUACCAAGGCGUCGACGGGUAGCCGGCCUGAGAGGGUGUACGGCCACAUUGGGACUGAGAUACGGCCCAGACUCCUACGGGAGGCAGCAGUGGGGAAUAUUGCACAAUGGGCGCAAGCCUGAUGCAGCGACGCCGCGUGGGGGAUGACGGCCUUUGGGUUGUAAACUCCUUUCGCUAGGGACGAAGCGCAAGUGACGGUACCUGGAGAAGAAGCACCGGCUAACUACGUG